This 373-nucleotide ribosomal RNA is filed under the name uncultured organism. RNAcentral describes it as "partial 16S ribosomal RNA". It matches the Rfam family "Bacterial small subunit ribosomal RNA", at positions 527 to 896 of the family's 1533-position model. The record is from RNAcentral.
GUAGGUGGCAAGCGUUGUCCGGAAUUAUUGGGCGUAAAGCGCGCGCAGGCGGUCCUUUAAGUCUGAUGUGAAAGCCCACGGCUCAACCGUGGAGGGUCAUUGGAAACUGGGGGACUUGAGUACAGAAGAGGAAAGCGGAACUCCAAGUGUAGCGGUGAAAUGCGUAGAGAUUUGGAGGAACACCAGUGGCGAAGGCGGCUUUCUGGUCUGUAACUGACGCUGAGGCGCGAAAGCGUGGGGAGCAAACAGGAUUAGAUACCCUGGUAGUCCACGCCGUAAACGAUGAGUGCUAAGUGUUAGGGGGUUUCCCGCCCCCUUAGUGCUGCAGCUAACGCAUUAAGCACUCCGCCUGGGGAGUACGGCCGCAAGGCUG